RNAcentral lists this ribosomal RNA (492 nucleotides) under uncultured bacterium. RNAcentral describes it as "partial 16S ribosomal RNA". It matches the Rfam family "Bacterial small subunit ribosomal RNA", at positions 29 to 507 of the family's 1533-position model. The record is from RNAcentral.
AGUGAACGCUGGCGGGAGGCAGAACACAUGCAAGUCGAACGGCAGCACAGUAAGAGCUUGCUCUUACGGGUGGCGAGUGGCGGACGGGUGAGGAAUACAUCGGAAUCUACUUUUUCGUGGGGGAUAACGUAGGGAAACUUACGCUAAUACCGCAUACGACCUACGGGUGAAAGCAGGGGAUCUUCGGACCUUGCGCGAUUGAAUGAGCCGAUGUCGGAUUAGCUAGUUGGCGGGGUAAAGGCCCACCAAGGCGACGAUCCGUAGCUGGUCUGAGAGGAUGAUCAGCCACACUGGAACUGAGACACGGUCCAGACUCCUACGGGAGGCAGCAGUGGGGAAUAUUGGACAAUGGGCGCAAGCCUGAUCCAGCCAUACCGCGUGGGUGAAGAAGGCCUUCGGGUUGUAAAGCCCUUUUGUUGGGAAAGAAAAGCAGCAGGUUAAUACCCCGCUGUUCUGACGGUACCCAAAGAAUAAGCACCGGCUAACUUCGUG